GCCGGGCGUGGUGGUGCACGCCUGUAAUCCCAGCUACUUGAGAGGCUGAGGCAGGAGAAUCACUUGAACUCAGGAGGCAGAGGUUGCAGUGAGCCGAGAUCGCACCACUGCACCCCAGCCUGGGUGACAGAGUGAGACUCUGUCUCAA
Molecule: unclassified non-coding RNA, 148 nt
Organism: Macaca mulatta (Rhesus monkey)
Lineage: Eukaryota; Metazoa; Chordata; Mammalia; Primates; Cercopithecidae
Rfam family: Metazoan signal recognition particle RNA
About the family: The signal recognition particle (SRP) is a universally conserved ribonucleoprotein. It is involved in the co-translational targeting of proteins to membranes. The eukaryotic SRP consists of a 300-nucleotide 7S RNA and six proteins: SRPs 72, 68, 54, 19, 14, and 9.
Source: Ensembl